This 871-nucleotide non-coding RNA is filed under the name Gregarina niphandrodes. RNAcentral's name for it is "Eukaryotic large subunit ribosomal RNA". It matches the Rfam family "Eukaryotic large subunit ribosomal RNA", at positions 2374 to 3350 of the family's 3401-position model. The record is from Rfam by way of RNAcentral. Lineage: Eukaryota; Apicomplexa; Conoidasida; Eugregarinorida; Gregarinidae.
AGGGAACGGGCUUGGCAAUAUAAGCGGGGAAAGAAGACCCUGUUGAGCUUGACUCUAGUUUGAUAUUGUAAAACUACUUGGAAGAUGUAGCAUACGUGGGAGCAUCUAAUGCGACAGUGAAAUACCACGGCUUCUAAUGUGGCUUUGCUCACUCGGAAUUAGUGGAUCUGCUCUGCAGAAACGCGAAACUAAAGUGUAAACGACAUUCACUGAGGACAUUAUCAAAUGGGGAGUUUGGCUGGGGCGGCACAUCUGCUAAACAUCAACGCAGAUGCCCUAAGGUUAACUCAAAGAGAACAGAAAUCUCUUGUAGACCGAAAGGAGAAAAGUUAGCAUUAUUCGGAUUUGUAUCAUCAAUAAGAAUUGCGAAAGCAUGGCCUAUCGAUCCUUUAAGCCCAGAAAGAUUCUGGCUAGAGGUGACGGAAAAGUUACCACAGGGAUAACUGGCUUGUGGCAGCCAAGCGUUCAUAGCGACGUUGCUUUUGUAUCCUUCGAUGUCGGCUCUUCCUAUCAUUGAGUUGCAGAAGUCUCAAAGUGUCGGAUUGUUCACCCGUUAAUAGGGAACGUGAGCUGGGUUUAGACCGUCGUGAGACAGGUUAGUUUUAUCCUACUUAUACACGCAUCAAAAGAGUUAAUCAACUUAGUACGAGAGGAACCGUUGAUUCAAACCGCUGGUUAAGCGUUUGACUGUAAAGUCAAAGACGCAAAGCUACGUUUGAUGGAUAAUGACUGAACGCCUCUAAGUCAAAAUCCUAACUUGUGAAAAGAUGUAUUAGUCAGUAAAGGUUCGAUACUAAUAUGAAAGACUUUACGAUUAAAUAUGAUAUCAAAAUACGAUUGAUACUCAAGUAGACGUUGUACAUUUGAGAGC